GAUACCCUGUGGUGUUCGUGUAAUACGGUCAUUGUUUUGAGCCAACACAUAUUAAAUGGGAGCUUAACUCUGACAGCGGAAUAUAUGCCAUCUACGAAUGGAAAUAUGAAACUGCCAGGAGAGCACCCACCUGCGAGAGCAGGUUCAAAACUGCCGGAUAACGGCACCAUGGGGAUUUA
RNAcentral lists this non-coding RNA (179 nucleotides) under Aceticella autotrophica. RNAcentral's name for it is "6S / SsrS RNA". It matches the Rfam family "6S / SsrS RNA". Rfam says of the family: E. coli 6S RNA was the first non coding RNA to be sequenced, but its function was unknown until recently. It consists of 184 nucleotides that fold into an extended hairpin structure with a large single-stranded internal bulge. Lineage: Bacteria; Bacillati; Bacillota; Clostridia; Thermoanaerobacterales; Thermoanaerobacteraceae. The record is from Rfam by way of RNAcentral.